AUUGAACGCUGGCGGCAGGCUUAACACAUGCAAGUCGAGCGGGGUGAUGGUGCUUGCACUAUCACUUAGCGGCGGACGGGUGAGUGAUGCUUAGGAAUCUGCCUAUUAGUGGGGGACAACAUCUCGAAAGGGAUGCUAAUACCGCAUACGUCCUACGGGAGAAAGCAGGGGAUCACUUGUGACCUUGCGCUAAUAGAUGAGCCUAAGUCGGAUUAGCUAGUUGGUGGGGUAAGGGCCUACCAAGGCGACGAUCUGUAGCGGGUCUGAGAGGAUGAUCCGCCACACUGGGACUGAGACACGGCCCAGACUCCUACGGGAGGCAGCAGUGGGGAAUAUUGGACAAUGGGGGGAACCCUGAUCCAGCCAUGCCGCGUGUGUGAAGAAGGCCUUAUGGUUGUAAAGCACUUUAAGCGAGGAGGAGGCUCUUUUGGUUAAUACCCAAGAUGAGUGGACGUUACUCGCAGAAUUAGCACCGGCUUACUCUGUGCCAGCCGCCGCCGUAA
Molecule: ribosomal RNA, 503 nt
Filed under: uncultured bacterium
Lineage: Bacteria
Description: partial 16S ribosomal RNA
Rfam family: Bacterial small subunit ribosomal RNA
Source: RNAcentral